RNAcentral lists this ribosomal RNA (479 nucleotides) under uncultured bacterium. Its description in RNAcentral is "partial 16S ribosomal RNA". It matches the Rfam family "Bacterial small subunit ribosomal RNA", at positions 28 to 507 of the family's 1533-position model. The record is from RNAcentral.
GAUGAACGCUAGCGGGAGGCUUAACACAUGCAAGCCGAGGGGUAUAGUUCUUUCGGGAACUAGAGACCGGCGCACGGGUGCGUAACGCGUAUGCAACUUGCCCUACUGAAAAGGAUAGCCCUUCGAAAGGAGGAUUAAUACUUUAUAACAGAUUUAAUGGCAUCAUUAGAUUUUGAAAGAUUUAUCGCAGUAGGAUAGGCAUGCGUAAGAUUAGUUAGUUGGUGAGGUAACGGCUCACCAAGACGAUGAUCUUUAGGGGGCCUGAGAGGGUGAACCCCCACACUGGUACUGAGACACGGACCAGACUCCUACGGGAGGCAGCAGUGAGGAAUAUUGGACAAGGGGUGGAAGCCUGAUCCAGCCAUCCCGCGUGUAGGAUGACGGCCUUAUGGGUUGUAAACUACUGUUAUCUGGGGAUAAACCUACUUACGUGUAAGUAGCUGAAGGUACCAGAAGAAUAAGCACCGGCUAACUCCGUG